Molecule: non-coding RNA, 30 nt
Filed under: Rattus norvegicus (Norway rat)
Lineage: Eukaryota; Metazoa; Chordata; Mammalia; Rodentia; Muridae
Source: RNAcentral
UGUCUACUUUAAACAGGUUAUUUGGCUGUC